CCCUUAGAUGUUCUGGGCCGCACGCGCGCUACACUGAUGCAUUCAACGAGCCUAACCUUGACCGAGAGGUCCGGGUAAUCUUUGAAACUGCAUCGUGAUGGGGCUAGAUUAUUGCAAUUAUUAAUCUUCAACGAGGAAUGCCUAGUAAGCGUGAUUCAUCAAAUCGCGUUGAUUACGUCCCUGCCCUUUGUACACACCGCCCGUCGCUCCUACCGAUUGAGUGUGUUGGUGAGGAGUUCGGAUUGGCUCUUAGUGGUGGUUCGCCACCACCUAGAGCUGAGAAGUUCUCCAAACCGCCCCACUUAGAGGAAGGAGAAGUCGUANCA
RNAcentral lists this ribosomal RNA (326 nucleotides) under uncultured eukaryote. Its description in RNAcentral is "partial 18S ribosomal RNA". It matches the Rfam family "Eukaryotic small subunit ribosomal RNA", at positions 1470 to 1796 of the family's 1831-position model. The record is from RNAcentral.